GCUGGGCACGGUGGCACAUGCCUGUAAUAUGAGCCACUUGGGAGGCUGAGUCAGGAGGAUCAUGAGUUCAAAGCCAACCUGAGCAAUGGAGAGGUGCUUAGCAACUUAGUGAGACCCUGUCUUUU
This 125-nucleotide small RNA is filed under the name Marmota monax (woodchuck). Lineage: Eukaryota; Metazoa; Chordata; Mammalia; Rodentia; Sciuridae. The record is from RNAcentral.